GAUGAACGCUGGCGGCGUGCCUAAUACAUGCAAGUCGAGCGAACAGAUGAGGAGCUUGCUCCUCUGACGUUAGCGGCGGACGGGUGAGUAACACGUGGAUACCCUACCUAUCAGACUGGGAUAACUUCGGGAAACCGGAGCUAAUACCGGAUAAUAUCUUGAACCGCAUGGUUCAAUAGUGAAAGACGGUUUUGCUGUCACUUAUCGAUGGAUCCGCGCCGCAUUAGCUAGUUGGUAAGGUAACGGCUUACCAAGGGAACGCUGCGUAGCCGACCUGAGAGGGUGAUCGGCCACACUGGAAGUGAGACACGGACCAGACGCCUACGGGAGGGAGCAGUAGGGAAUCUGCCGCAAUGGGCGAAAGCCUGACGGAACAACGCCGCGUGAGUGAUGAAGGUCUUCGGAUCGUAAAACUCUGUUAUUAGUGAAGAACAAAUGUGGAAGUAACUGUGCACGUCGUGACGGUACCUAAUCAGAAAGCCACGGCUAACUACGUG
This 497-nucleotide ribosomal RNA is filed under the name uncultured bacterium. Its description in RNAcentral is "partial 16S ribosomal RNA". It matches the Rfam family "Bacterial small subunit ribosomal RNA", at positions 28 to 507 of the family's 1533-position model. The record is from RNAcentral.